AAAAGUACUUUGAAAAGAGAGUGCAAGAGAACGUGAAACCGGUGUAAUGGAAACGAAUGGAGUCGACGUAUCUGUUGGGUAUUCAGCCGGUUGCGGGCCGCAAUUGAGGUGUGUGUGUUCUCGCAAGAUGCGCCGCGCUUUAUUGGUUGCGGUCGUGGUCGGUUCAUUUGCCCGAAGAGUGCGCCGAGUUGUGUGGUUUUGCCGAAUGAAGCGCGUUUAGAGGGCCGCGUCCUUGUGGCGCGGUAGCCUGUGCGUGUCGAGUUUGGUUGAGGCUGCGCAGCUUUGUGGAAGACGUGGGUUUUUCGCGUGCAGUCGUGCCGAUCGUUCAUGCUUGCGUGUUGCACAUGUGUAGCGCGUUUGUGUGGGCGGUGGGCGCGGUUGUGUGCACUACGCUCUUCUCGGCGUGCAGUUGAUCACUCAUUCGACCCGUCUUGAAACACGGACCAAGGAGUUUAUGGUAUGCGCGAGUUAUUGAGUUUGAACGAAGCUCAAAGGCACAAUGAAAGUGAGACUGUAUUGUAUUCAACGUGAGUGGGUGCGGCAUUCGUGCGGCCCAAGCAACGUUGCCCCGUUUCGAGGACUUGUCCUGUUGCGGAGGUUGGGCGUAUGCUAUGAGACCCGAAAGAUGGUGAACUAUGCCUGAACAGGACGAAGCCAGAGGAAACUCUGGUGGAAGUCCGAAGCGGUUCUGACGUGCAAAUCGAUCGUCUGAUUUUGGUAUAGGGGCGCAAGACUAAUCGAACCAUCUGGUAGCUGGUUUCUUCCGAAGUUUCCCUCAGGAUAGCUGGUGCACAUGAUUAACAGAUAUACUCGGUAAAGCGAACGAUUAGAGUUCUUGGGAUGUAUUAUUCUCAGACUAUUCUCAUACUCUAAAUGGUUAUGUUGUUGUCGUUUCUUAAUUGAACGUCGACUUUGAUUGUUGUGCUCCAAGUGGGCCAUUUUUGGUAAGCAGAACUGGCGAUGUGGGAUGAACCAAACGCGGAGUUACGGUGCCUAACUAUUCGCUCAUGAGACCCCAUGAAAGGUGUUGGUUGAUAUAGACAGCAGGACGGUGGCCAUGGAAGUCGGAAUCCGCUAAGGAGUGUGUAACAACUCACCUGCCGAAUCAACUAGCCCUGAAAAUGGAUGGCGCUUGAGCGAAUGACCUAUACUCUGCCGUUGUUGAAACUCGAAAGAAAUCUCUCAACGAGUAGGAAGUACGUUGUGAUGGCGUUGAAUUGUGGGCGUGAGCUCGAAUGGAGCCUUAUGAGUGCAA
This 1255-nucleotide ribosomal RNA is filed under the name Bursaphelenchus tokyoensis. RNAcentral describes it as "eukaryotic LSU rRNA". It matches the Rfam family "Eukaryotic large subunit ribosomal RNA", at positions 367 to 1447 of the family's 3401-position model. Lineage: Eukaryota; Metazoa; Nematoda; Chromadorea; Rhabditida; Aphelenchoididae. The record is from RNAcentral.